Molecule: ribosomal RNA, 497 nt
Filed under: uncultured bacterium
Lineage: Bacteria
Description: partial 16S ribosomal RNA
Rfam family: Bacterial small subunit ribosomal RNA
Source: RNAcentral
GAUGAACGCUGGCGGCGUGCCUAAUACAUGCAAGUCGAGCGAACAGACGCGGCGCUUGCUCCUUUGACGUUAGCCGCGGACGUGUGAGUAACACGUGUAUCACCUACCUAUAAGUCUGGGAUAACUUCGGGAAACCGGAGCUAAUACCGGAUAACAUGUUGAACCGCGUGGUUCAACAGUGAGAGACGGUCUUGCUGUCACUUAUAGAUGGAUCCGCGCCGCAUUAGCUAGUUGGUAAGGUAAGGGCUUACCAAGGCAACGAUGCGUAGGCGACCUGAGAGGGGGAUCGGCCACACUGGAACUGAGACACGGCCCAGACUCCUACGGGAGGCAGCAGUAGGGAAUCUUCCGCAAUGGGCGAAAGCCUGACGGAGCAACGCCGCGUGAGUGAAGAAGGUCUUCGGAUCGUAAAACUCUGUUAUUAGGGAAGAACAAAUGUGUAAGUAACUAUGCACGUCUUGACGGUACCGAAUCAGAAAGCCACGGCUAACUACGUG